This 1378-nucleotide ribosomal RNA is filed under the name Microbacterium sp. Its description in RNAcentral is "bacterial SSU rRNA". It matches the Rfam family "Bacterial small subunit ribosomal RNA". Lineage: Bacteria; Bacillati; Actinomycetota; Actinomycetes; Micrococcales; Microbacteriaceae. The record is from RNAcentral.
GUGAAGCAGGAGCUUGCUCUUGUGGAUCAGUGGCGAACGGGUGAGUAACACGUGAGCAACCUGCCCCUGACUCUGGGAUAAGCGCUGGAAACGGCGUCUAAUACUGGAUAUGAACCGGAGCCGCAUGGUUACUGGUUGGAAAGAUUUUUCGGUUGGGGAUGGGCUCGCGGCCUAUCAGCUUGUUGGUGAGGUAAUGGCUCACCAAGGCGUCGACGGGUAGCCGGCCUGAGAGGGUGACCGGCCACACUGGGACUGAGACACGGCCCAGACUCCUACGGGAGGCAGCAGUGGGGAAUAUUGCACAAUGGGCGGAAGCCUGAUGCAGCAACGCCGCGUGAGGGAUGACGGCCUUCGGGUUGUAAACCUCUUUUAGCAGGGAAGAAGCGAAAGUGACGGUACCUGCAGAAAAAGCGCCGGCUAACUACGUGCCAGCAGCCGCGGUAAUACGUAGGGCGCAAGCGUUAUCCGGAAUUAUUGGGCGUAAAGAGCUCGUAGGCGGUUUGUCGCGUCUGCUGUGAAAUCCCGAGGCUCAACCUCGGGCCUGCAGUGGGUACGGGCAGACUAGAGUGCGGUAGGGGAGAUUGGAAUUCCUGGUGUAGCGGUGGAAUGCGCAGAUAUCAGGAGGAACACCGAUGGCGAAGGCAGAUCUCUGGGCCGUAACUGACGCUGAGGAGCGAAAGGGUGGGGAGCAAACAGGCUUAGAUACCCUGGUAGUCCACCCCGUAAACGUUGGGAACUAGUUGUGGGGUCCAUUCCACGGAUUCCGUGACGCAGCUAACGCAUUAAGUUCCCCGCCUGGGGAGUACGGCCGCAAGGCUAAAACUCAAAGGAAUUGACGGGGACCCGCACAAGCGGCGGAGCAUGCGGAUUAAUUCGAUGCAACGCGAAGAACCUUACCAAGGCUUGACAUAUACGAGAACGGGCCAGAAAUGGUCAACUCUUUGGACACUCGUAAACAGGUGGUGCAUGGUUGUCGUCAGCUCGUGUCGUGAGAUGUUGGGUUAAGUCCCGCAACGAGCGCAACCCUCGUUCUAUGUUGCCAGCACGUAAUGGUGGGAACUCAUGGGAUACUGCCGGGGUCAACUCGGAGGAAGGUGGGGAUGACGUCAAAUCAUCAUGCCCCUUAUGUCUUGGGCUUCACGCAUGCUACAAUGGCCGGUACAAAGGGCUGCAAUACCGUGAGGUGGAGCGAAUCCCAAAAAGCCGGUCCCAGUUCGGAUUGAGGUCUGCAACUCGACCUCAUGAAGUCGGAGUCGCUAGUAAUCGCAGAUCAGCAACGCUGCGGUGAAUACGUUCCCGGGUCUUGUACACACCGCCCGUCAAGUCAUGAAAGUCGGUAACACCUGAAGCCGGUGGCCUAACCCUUGUGGAGGGAGCC